Molecule: ribosomal RNA, 227 nt
Filed under: uncultured bacterium
Lineage: Bacteria
Description: partial 16S ribosomal RNA
Rfam family: Bacterial small subunit ribosomal RNA
Source: RNAcentral
CGACGUAGGUAACCUGCCUGGUAGCGGGGGAUAACUAUUGGAAACGAUAGCUAAUACCGCAUAAUAUUAAUUAUUGCAUGAUAAUUAAAUUAAAAGGUGCAAUUGCACCACUACCAGAUGGACCUGCGUUGUAUUAGCUAGUAGGUGAGGUAACGGCUCACCUAGGCGACGAUACAUAGCCGACCUGAGAGGGUGAUCGGCCACACUGGGACUGAGACACGGCCCAG